Molecule: ribosomal RNA, 426 nt
Filed under: uncultured bacterium
Lineage: Bacteria
Description: bacterial SSU rRNA
Rfam family: Bacterial small subunit ribosomal RNA
Source: RNAcentral
UCGAGAAUUUUUCUCAAUGGGGGAAACCCUGAAGGAGCGACGCCGCGUGGAGGAUGAAGGCCUUCGGGUUGUAAACUCCUGUCAUUUGGGAACAAACCUUUCAUUUAACUAGUGAAAGACUGAUAGUACCAGAAGAGGAAGAGACGGCUAACUCUGUGCCAGCAGCCGCGGUAAUACAGAGGUCUCAACCGUUGUUCGGAUUCAUUGGGCGUAAAGGGUGCGUAGGCGGUCGUGCAAGUCGGAUGUGAAAUCUCAGGGCUCAACCCUGAAACUGCAUUCGAUACUGCGUGGCUAGAGUGCUGGAGAGGAGACUGGAAUUUACGGUGUAGCAGUGAAAUGCGUAGAUAUCGUAAGGAAGACCAGUGGCGAAGGCGAGUCUCUGGACAGCAACUGACGCUGAGGCACGAAGGCCAGGGGAGCAAACGG